GGUUAGCCCUGAUAGAAGCGGUAUCCUUUUUGUCUCGUUUUUUUACGAGACAAAAAGAUACAAGUGGAUAGCAGGAAUAAGC
Molecule: small RNA, 82 nt
Filed under: Flavobacterium sp. 1
Lineage: Bacteria; Pseudomonadati; Bacteroidota; Flavobacteriia; Flavobacteriales; Flavobacteriaceae
Description: Flavo-1 RNA
Rfam family: Flavo-1 RNA
Source: RNAcentral